Molecule: long non-coding RNA, 1597 nt
Filed under: Nicotiana tabacum (common tobacco)
Lineage: Eukaryota; Viridiplantae; Streptophyta; Magnoliopsida; Solanales; Solanaceae
Description: long non-coding RNA (NTAB_LNC006748)
Source: RNAcentral
GUGGACCUAGCAGAAUAGAAAGUUAUUUACUCCUAGUUAAACUUCCCAUAGGAAGGAUAUAUAAAGCUUUCAAAGAAAAAUUAAGUUUUAAAGACAAAUUGAAUUAAUAACGAUGCUAUAUAUUAGAAAUUUGACUUUAAAAAGGACAUGAUAAGGAGGAGAAAUUGUUAGAAGUUCUACGUAUUGAAACCAAACAGGACGAUCUGGCCAUAAACGUAACAGAAUUAUAUUUUCAGCACAAAUAUAAUUUUGUCAGGAAAUACAUUAGAAAACACAAUUUACAUUCCUGGAAUGACCAUGCGCAAAACACGUACGUACAUAUUUAGAUGCGUUUCUGCACUAGCCUCAUAUUGACCAUACACUUGUUUGCCUCUUCGCCUGAAACAAAUAUGAAGAAGAAAACAUAAAGAAAGAAAAUGGAGAGAUGCACAAUUGAUCCUCAUGAUAUCAGAGUAAAUAGAGAUUUGAUUCAAUUCUUCCAUCACCUAUAUUUAUGAAAGAAAUAUUCAUGAAGAAAAGAAUCAACGUUACCGCAACGGUGUAUUGCUAAUUAAGUAUAAUUAAGCAAAUAAAAACGGCAACGGUGUAUUGCUAAGUAUAAUUAAGCAAAUAAAAACUGUGUGAUGAGAUAGUGACACGCUUCUAACACCACACUAUUCCAAGUUGUGGCUUUCUAUAAUUUCCUCUUCGCCUAAGCUACGACGUCCCCUUUAAACAAGGAGAAAACAGAUUGCAUAAUUGCAUUUCUGCAUGCAUGCAGGCUGCAGCAUAAUUAGUUUUCAUCAAAAAUGAUCUAAUCCUCAGUUGGCAGUGGACAUGUACCAUUUAGGAAACUGCAUGCAUGCAUGGAUCGAUAUAUACGUUAACACCACAGUCUUAGACUCCACAAAUACUCCAUUAAUUAAUAUCAAAUGCCAUGGAAGAGGACUGAGGGAAAAAGGAAGAGGAAGAGAAAAAGUGAAAAGGCAAAAACAAGCAACGUCUAUAUAUGCUCAAAGACUCCUCAUGAUGCAAGAAAAAUAAUAAAUAGAAAUGGAGCUAGGAAGAGAAGAACAGCGUCGUUGUAUGCACAUCGAUUAUAAGUAAACAUAUUAGUUUGGAUAUAGAAAUGGAAAUUUUUCACUAGGGCAUGCACAAGAUAAAAAGAGGGCAUAGUUCAGUCGCACGCAGCGUGGCACCGUCAAUCUUUGCAAUUGUAUGGAUGGAGCCACGCUGAGUACGCCUAAACUACUUCUUCUUUCUCUUUUCUUCAUCUACGUACUUCCAUCUCCAAACAAGAACAAUCGUUGUUAUUCGUAUAAUUUGUGUGUAUGCGUGCAUAUAUAUUGCGUAGUAGUAUAUAUUAAAAGUAUAUAAUGACUUGUAAUAUAUUAACUGCAAAACACAAAAAGCUGUCAAAUCUCUAUCUUUUAACAUGGAGAGCCGGUGGCAAAUGCCAGAUGUAGCUUAAAGAGCGAAUAAUUCCAGGAAAUUGCCAUGUGAAAAUACCAUAUGGAAGUAUGAAGCUAGCUGAAACGGUGAUGAUAAGGUCCUUACGCAUUACUAUAACAGGGAGAAGAAAAGUUAUCUCCAGUAAGCAUCCAAGUGGCACUACCUG